Cannabis sativa is the source of this 372-nucleotide long non-coding RNA. RefSeq lists it as uncharacterized. Lineage: Eukaryota; Viridiplantae; Streptophyta; Magnoliopsida; Rosales; Cannabaceae. The record is from RefSeq and is a predicted model, not a curated record. The transcript has 2 exons.
CAUCUGAAAUGAAAAAAGAAAAAACAGAAAAAAAGAAAAAAAGAAAAAACAGAAAACAGAAGAAAUCAAAACGCCAUGCAUAUUAUGAAUCAGAUGGUUACUGUAAUAAGUUUGUCAGGAGACCAGGACCAAAGAUCAAAAACAAGAAAAACAAAUAUUUUCAUAGAUAUGUCUUAACAGUCGGAUUGUCAGUACCUGAUACAGAUAGCCUGAUUCAGAUAGAGCAAGAAUUGUGUGGUUAACAAUAAAAAUAGAAGCUGCAUGUCCUUCGGAUAUGGGUAAGUCAUGUGGUGCUACUACCCACUGCACACCAUUCCAAAACCUCUCAUAGAUACACCCACUUUGACUAGUGAUCCAAACAGAAGUCUCAGA